UAUUUUAGGAAAGAACCGGACCUCGAGACCCGGAUCAGGAAAAAAAUGUACAGAAGAAGAAGGGUGAAAAGUUUAAACGAAAGUUUAACGUCUGUGAGUUAGAAAGGGUACUAACCACACAGUGAGGAACCCGCACUGACCCCUUCAACUUCG
Molecule: non-coding RNA, 153 nt
Submitted as: unclassified sequences
Source: Rfam